RNAcentral lists this ribosomal RNA (253 nucleotides) under uncultured bacterium. Its description in RNAcentral is "partial 16S ribosomal RNA". It matches the Rfam family "Bacterial small subunit ribosomal RNA", at positions 524 to 776 of the family's 1533-position model. The record is from RNAcentral.
GACGUAGGGCGCGAGCGUUGUCCGGAUUUAUUGGGCGUAAAGAGCUCGUAGGCGGCUUGUUACGUCGGAUGUGAAAACCCAUGGCUCAACUGUGGGCUUGCAUCCGAUACGGGCAGGCUAGAGUUCGGUAGGGGAGACUGGAAUUCCUGGUGUAGCGGUGAAAUGCGCAGAUAUCAGGAGGAACACCGGUGGCGAAGGCGGGUCUCUGGGCCGAUACUGACGCUGAGGAGCGAAAGCCAGGGGAGCAAACGGG